This 465-nucleotide ribosomal RNA is filed under the name Vreelandella stevensii. Its description in RNAcentral is "partial 16S ribosomal RNA". It matches the Rfam family "Bacterial small subunit ribosomal RNA", at positions 338 to 795 of the family's 1533-position model. The record is from RNAcentral. Lineage: Bacteria; Pseudomonadati; Pseudomonadota; Gammaproteobacteria; Oceanospirillales; Halomonadaceae.
CCUACGGGAGGCUGCAGUGGGGAAUAUUGGACAAUGGGGGCAACCCUGAUCCAGCCAUGCCGCGUGUGUGAAGAAGGCCCUCGGGUUGUAAAGCACUUUCAGUGAGGAAGAACGCCUGGUGGUUAAUACCCAUCAGGAAAGACAUCACUCACAGAAGAAGCACCGGCUAACUCCGUGCCAGCAGCCGCGGUAAUACGGAGGGUGCGAGCGUUAAUCGGAAUUACUGGGCGUAAAGCGCGCGUAGGUGGCUUGAUAAGCCGGUUGUGAAAGCCCCGGGCUCAACCUGGGAACGGCAUCCGGAACUGUCAAGCUAGAGUGCAGGAGAGGAAGGUAGAAUUCCCGGUGUAGCGGUGAAAUGCGUAGAGAUCGGGAGGAAUACCAGUGGCGAAGGCGGCCUUCUGGACUGACACUGCCACUGAGGUGCGAAAGCGUGGGUAGCAAACAGGAUUAGCUACCCUUGUAGUC